GACGAACGCUGGCGGCGUGCUUAACACAUGCAAGUCGAACGGAAAGGCCCUGCUUUUGUGGGGUGCUCGAGUGGCGAACGGGUGAGUAACACGUGAGUAACCUGCCCUUGACUUUGGGAUAACUUCAGGAAACUGGGGCUAAUACCGGAUAGGAGCUCCUGCUGCAUGGUGGGGGUUGGAAAGUUUCGGCGGUUGGGGAUGGACUCGCGGCUUAUCAGCUUGUUGGUGGGGUAGUGGCUUACCAAGGCUUUGACGGGUAGCCGGCCUGAGAGGGUGACCGGCCACAUUGGGACUGAGAUACGGCCCAGACUCCUACGGGAGGCAGCAGUGGGGAAUAUUGCACAAUGGGCGGAAGCCUGAUGCAGCAACGCCGCGUGCGGGAUGACGGCCUUCGGGUUGUAAACCGCUUUCGCCUGUGACGAAGCGUGAGUGACGGUAAUGGGGAAAGAAGCACCGGAUAACUACGU
RNAcentral lists this ribosomal RNA (467 nucleotides) under uncultured bacterium. RNAcentral describes it as "partial 16S ribosomal RNA". It matches the Rfam family "Bacterial small subunit ribosomal RNA", at positions 28 to 506 of the family's 1533-position model. The record is from RNAcentral.